GCCAUUUGCGACUAAAAACCGAUUUUGGCAACCAAAAAUGACAAAAAACACGCUGGUUAGGGGCCCAAAUAUUUUGAGUUGGACUACUGACCUCCAAAUCCAAGUUUCAGGGAUGGCAAUUUUCCGCGGAUCCGCGGCUUUCCACCGAUUUAAUUUCAAAUUUGAACACUUUAUUGUCACUGAUGUUAACGUCGUUAACAUCUCGCGGGAGUCCGCGAGACUCCGUCGGAUCCAGAACCAGCCCAGAAUGUGGUGGCGGCAUCCGGAGGACAGCACCAACUGAGCCUGAGCACCGCGAACGGAAAGCACCAAGCCACCGGAGCUGUCAUUUUUUCAACUCGGCGGGUCCGCCGGCUGCUCUCCCCGGUCACAGACUGCUCAGACUCCCCGGCUGGCUAGCUAUCCCCUGCUAGCUGCUCGGCUAACACCUGCCGCUCCUCGCCGCUCAUCUGCCCGGGACAAACCGCACCUGUUCCGGCUGUCAACGUCCCCAGUCGCCCGCUAGGAGCUCCGGACAAUGCGCUGCUCAUUCGAUUGUGACACUGAUGAGACGUGGGCAAAAGUAUCUGUCAGGGUGCUGAUUGUUGUCAGUGAAGAUGAGCAAGUCGUUCCAAAUCAGCUCCACCUUCACCCAAUAUCUACUGCCAUCAUUGUUGAGGGAGGUAUUGUAAUGGACAAUGUCCAGAACCUGCCUGAGGCACUUUGCCUUUUGUUUGGAUUGUCAUACGCUUUACAUUUAGACUACUCAAAGGCCAUGAAAAACACUUUGGGCUUCAUUCAAAGAGUAAUGCUUGGCCUGGGAGAGAGCAAACUCCCACCAAAAUUGCAAAGUCUUAAAAAUCUCUUGUUGAGUUAGAAUGCAAAUGCACGAGUGGAUUCAGUUGUUUCUUAUUGUUCACUGUAUUAAAGUCAGCCCACGGGUUCAUCAGCAAGUUAGAGGCUGUAGAUGUUCGUACAUUCAUUCACACAGGUGAGAUUGCCAGUCAUUACCCUCUCAGGUUUUUGUGUUAAAUACAGUGUUAUAAAGAGAAGAAAAAGUUGAUGUAAAUGGAAGAAAAACAAAAGACAAUUUCUGUUUGAACUUUCAGCAGUUAUUACCUUGAUUUAUUAUGUUUAAUUGUAAUUCGGAUUAUUUUAAGAAAUUGGAGCCUGUUUUUCAUUUCUUUAUGGAUAUUUUUGAACCACUUAAAUUGCUGAAGUUCAGUUUGCAUGGUUUUAGAAAAUAAGUCAGAUUGCUGUCCAAGUAAAUAUAUAACUUAGAAAUGCUAAGUUAGUUCAACUUAGAUAAGUAUGUUAAAUGAACUGAACAGUGUAAAUUUAACAUGCAAUUAUUUAGUAGAUUGAAAUAUUAAUUCUGAGUAGUCUUUACUAAGUCAAGCGUGUUCUAAAAUGAGUUAUCAAGUACAGUCUACUUGAUUGUUUUAGUUGCUUAAACUCAUUUGUAAGUGUACUCUACAAAGGAAGUGCUAGUUAGUACAACUAAAUUUAACUCGUUCUCUUUACUUGUUUUUUUUUUUAAGUGCAACCGGUUUGCAUGCUUUUUUUAAGUAAUGAUAACUAAUUGGAUUUUACAGUGUAACAGGGUUAUUUAGUAUGCACUGCCAACAGUUUCUUUGGCCUGGUGUUACAGAAACAUCAAACUAGAAAGAAAUUUUUGUCCCUUGCAGUGAAUGGAAGUGUGAUAAAGUACUUAUGUAUAAAGAUCAAUAUUAGGGGGGUUUGCAUGUUUCAGUCAAUUGUGUAACAAAUUGCAUGAGACUUAGAUUACCAACAUUUUGGCGUUAUGAUGCUUGAUUGUAUUUUUCUAAUACACUGUGAUACUUACAAAUCUGUGCAUGUCUUUUCAGUGUGUUUCAGGGAGUGGCUGAAAAAACAGAAUGUGGAACAAGCAGAAUUGGAAGCCAGGGUGGGAAAGGCUGGAUGUUGCAUCUCCGAAAAAAUCAUGGACAUUAAUAGACAAAACAAAAAGGCCACUUAA
This is a long non-coding RNA of Acanthochromis polyacanthus (spiny chromis), 1978 nucleotides long. RefSeq lists it as uncharacterized. The transcript is spliced from 2 exons. Lineage: Eukaryota; Metazoa; Chordata; Actinopteri; Pomacentridae. The record is from RefSeq and is a predicted model, not a curated record.